UUAAGCCGGAUGUGAAAUCCUGAGCUUAACUUAGGAAUUGCAUUCGAUACUGGUCAGCUAGAGUAUGGGAGAGGAUGGUAGAAUUCCAGGUGUAGCGGUGAAAUGCGUAGAGAUCUGGAGGAAUACCGAUGGCGAAGGCAGCCAUCUGGCCUAAUACUGACGCUGAGGUACGAAAGCAUGGGGAGCAAACAGGAUUAGAUACCCUGGUAGUCCAUGCCGUAAACGAUGUCUACUAGCCGUUGGGGCCUUUGAGGCUUUAGUGGCGCAGCUAACGCGAUAAGUAGACCGCCUGGGGAGUACGGUCGCAAGACUAAAACUCAAAUGAAUUGACGGGGGCCCGCACAAGCGGUGGAGCAUGUGGUUUAAUUCGAUGCAACGCGAAGAACCUUACCUGGUCUUGACAUAGUAAGAACUUUCCAGAGAUGGAUUGGUGCCUUCGGGAACUUACAUACAGGUGCUGCAUGGCUGUCGUCAGCUCGUGUCGUGAGAUGUUGGGUUAAGUCCCGCAACGAGCGCAACCCUUUUCCUUAUUUGCCAGCACUUCGGGUGGGAACUUUAAGGAUACUGCCAGUGACAAACUGGAGGAAGGCGGGGACGACGUCAAGUCAUCAUGGCCCUUACGACCAGGGCUACACACGUGCUACAAUGGUCGGUACAAAGGGUUGUUACCUAGCGAUAGGAUGCUAAUCUCAAAAAGCCGAUCGUAGUCCGGAUUGGAGUCUGCAACUCGACUCCAUGAAGUCGGAAU
RNAcentral lists this ribosomal RNA (748 nucleotides) under uncultured bacterium. RNAcentral's name for it is "bacterial SSU rRNA". It matches the Rfam family "Bacterial small subunit ribosomal RNA", at positions 583 to 1332 of the family's 1533-position model. The record is from RNAcentral.